UGGCUCAGACGGUAAAGCGUCUGCCUGCAAUGCGGAAGACCCAGGUUCGAUUCCUGG
This 57-nucleotide transfer RNA is filed under the name Ovis aries (sheep). It matches the Rfam family "tRNA", at positions 8 to 63 of the family's 71-position model. Rfam says of the family: Transfer RNA (tRNA) molecules are approximately 80 nucleotides in length. Their secondary structure includes four short double-helical elements and three loops (D, anti-codon, and T loops). The record is from Rfam by way of RNAcentral. Lineage: Eukaryota; Metazoa; Chordata; Mammalia; Artiodactyla; Bovidae.